Molecule: ribosomal RNA, 253 nt
Filed under: uncultured bacterium
Lineage: Bacteria
Description: partial 16S ribosomal RNA
Rfam family: Bacterial small subunit ribosomal RNA
Source: RNAcentral
UACAGAGGUCUCAAGCGUUGUUCGGAUUCAUUGGGCGUAAAGGGGGCGUAGGUGGCGCCGUAAGUCAGGUGUGAAAUUUCGGAGCUUAACUCCGAAACUGCAUUUGAUACUGCGGUGCUUGAGGACUGGAGAGGAGACUGGAAUUUACGGUGUAGCAGUGAAAUGCGUAGAGAUCGUAAGGAAGACCAGUGGCGAAGGCGGGUCUCUGGACAGUUCCUGACACUGAGGCACGAAGGCCAGGGGAGCAAACGGG